CCCUUGAUCUUAGUUGCCAGCAUUCAGUUGGGCACUCUAAGGUGACUGCCGGUGACAAACCGGAGGAAGGUGGGGAUGACGUCAAAUCAUCAUGCCCCUUAUGACCUGGGCUACACACGUGCUACAAUGGACAGAACAAAGGGCAGCGAAACCGCGAGGUUAAGCCAAUCCCACAAAUCUGUUCUCAGUUCGGAUCGCAGUCUGCAACUCGACUGCGUGAAGCUGGAAUCGCUAGUAAUCGCGGAUCAGCAUGCCGCGGUGAAUACGUUC
RNAcentral lists this ribosomal RNA (270 nucleotides) under Bacillus subtilis. RNAcentral's name for it is "partial 16S ribosomal RNA". It matches the Rfam family "Bacterial small subunit ribosomal RNA", at positions 1102 to 1373 of the family's 1533-position model. The record is from RNAcentral. Lineage: Bacteria; Bacillati; Bacillota; Bacilli; Caryophanales; Bacillaceae.